CUUUAGUGUGUAUAAAUGCUAUUUGUGUUCUUCAGACUAGGAUUUUACAGUGAACAAAAUCUGACUCUUUGAAAUCAAGAGUAUACAGAAUAACUCACAAAGCAAUCAGGAAGAUCCUUCGAAAGGAUCACUUCUCGUAUAACUGCACCUGUACAGGUUUGUUUCUUACUGACAUGACUGUCUAAUAGUUACUGUUUAUGUCAGUAUGGAUCUGAAUUUUAAAAUUCUUACUCAUACCUUUACUGAGCUGGGUUUCUUUCAGUAGUUGAUCUUGUUUACAAUUACGUUAAUAUUUUACUAGGGCUUAAAUUCAACAUGUUUUACGACGUACAUCCUUCAGUCUUGACUGCGCAAGCAGCAUUGUUAUAACAUCUGUGCUUCAGCUUGCACGUACAUUGCCCGCAUCCUGUAGGCAGGUACAAGAAAAAAGUUGUUGAGCUCUGUGCCUCCUCCUUGCACUUUCACCACUUGCUCCUGGCACUCUUCAGCCUGCUGUGUGCUACACCUGUCCGGAGGAAUGCUGCCACAGGGAAACACGGUGCAUUAAAUCCAGCUGAACGUGAGUGACUCAGCCCAUGAUCUUGAAUCACUUUUUAAACCUGCGAUGAUUUUGAGGAAACCCCAAUGGAACAUAAGCAACACAUUCCUGGCAAUCAGUGAAGCAGUAACAGUUCAUGGAGCUGCCCUUCACAAACCUGGAAGUAGCUUUCAUCUUACUUGCUUUUGUCAUUUUCUCCUUGUUCACCUUGGCAUCUAUCUACAGUGACCCCUAUGGCAAGAAAGAAGAAUGCUCCACACAGGAAGUACACGGGAAAAGAAGCAAAUCCAACACGAAAAAGACACAUGCAAAUACAAGUGAAUUGGCUUAGAGAAAGAAUUGUUACCAAGGUCCACUGUUGGAAAUACAUCUGAAAGAGAUAACCUUGGAAGCUGGUCACCUGAACACAGUGAGAAAAAGGGUGUGAGAAAGGAAGGACCUGAUCAUCCAUCAGAUGGAAUCCAGACGUGACAAUUAGAGUUAAUGAACCAUGACCCAAGAAGCAGUUUCUGCACUUUACAAUCCUACUUCAUGGCCUCAGUAAAACUUUCAGGGCUGCUUUUUUUUUCCCACAGAACACAUCUGCUCCAAAUUCUAAAGGGAGAAACUGGUUUCAGAAGUUACAUUUGGUUUCCUCCCUACUUUUCAGUCAUGUAUGAGGUAAAUGUAAGAACUUUGUUAACUAAAAAUCAGAAGAUACAGCUUCUAUGAUGAGUCUAUAUAGUAUUAUUAUAGUAGCUAUUUAAUUUAUAUUAAAUUUAAUGAACUGAUAAAGAUGACUGGAAAACACCAAGCAAAUAUUUUCAAAACAACCAGCAUAAUGGCUUCUAUGUUUAAAUACUGGUUUUGGCCUCAGAUAGCUAAGAGAAUGCCUCAAAGGGGGGAAAAAAAAAAGUUGAUUAAUACUUAAGUCUCCUAUCAUUUCUUCACAGAGCAGGUAUAGCUAAUGAAGCAGUGCCUCUUUUUCCCCAAAGUCCAGAAGAUCUACUGAACUUCUAAUCCUGAGGUGGAAUUGAUCUUUCUUUCCCUACGAGCAAAGUAUUCCUGCACUCAGAGCCUCUCAAUAGUUUCUCAGAAUCACAAAAAGUCAUCCAUUUGGUCUUUUGCUACUAUUUGGAAUGAAGGAUUGAAAUAGGGCCAAACAACUCUUGGUGGUUUUCUUCCCAUAUCAGACGCACCUUUUUUUGGCCUCCUCCAAAGAUGUGUUACCAAAACCAUAACAAUUCACUGUGAAAUCUGCUACCUAAAUUACAAUUGCUUUUUGGUUACAGUAGUGAAUUCUAAAAAAGCUUUUCCAGCAGCCCUGGUCAGAAAUCCACAAAGGAUACCUAGUGCAGAGCAGGAAGAUCUCAAGAGUUUGGAGAUAAUGUUUCACAGUCAGCUUACACUCCAGUUCCCUCUUCUCACUGAGUUAGGAAGUGAUUGGUUGCAUCCUGCUUCUGGAGAAGACAAAGGUAUUUCAGCCAUUGGUACUCCAAACUCAAAGAAGACCAUUAUUAAGAAAUGAAAGUCCAACUUGGUCUUGUACAUGGAAAUGUCUGCAGUACUUCCAAGACUUCUUCAAGAGUCAAUGGGUCUCAUAGGAAUGGCUCACAGAGCUUUUUUUCUUACUGACACUGUCCUCAUACAUUCCAAUUUUUACAGUUAGUAUGGCGUUCUCUUCAGUGAAACUUGAGCGCACACACUCACGCUGUGUCAUGAGAAUUUUCUAGUCCUAUCACUGAAUUCCUUUCUUAUAGCUUAUAGUAAAAUCAUUUCCAAAGGAGGAGAGGAGAAGAGAACAUUGCUGUUUUCUGUUCUAAUAUGAGCAUGUGAAUAAAUUAAAUGAUAUUUAUAUCUUUAUAGAAGGAGCUUCACAAUUUUAAAAAAUAAAAAAAGAUGAUCAGAAGAAAUGGAAGGAAAAGGUGUGGUAAGAGUAAAAUAUCUGAUAAGAAAUUAUUUGACUGAAAAUGAAUAGUAGAGGAAUAUUACAAAAUCUAUCCAUAUCACAGUCAAUCGAUUAAAUAAUAAAACACAUCACUUUAUUCUAGCAAGUUUUUUCAAUGCAAAAAAAAAAAAAAGCCUAUGGCUUGGUAAUAAAAGUAACUGUAAACUGUCUUGCCCAUCAUACAUACUAUUGCUAAGUAUAGUUUUAUUUCUUCACUAUAUUAACUUCCCAAGAGCUCAUUAAAUGUUACUGAUAUUGAAAGCACGGUCAAUCAGGUGAAAUAAAAUAAAAUGGAAAAAAAUUAAAAAUAUCAGUAGAUCAAGUGUUUGUUGUAAAUAUCUUCUGCCUUGCUUAAACAUUGAACUAAUUUUUAAGUAUGCAUGCAGAGAAGUUGUAUAAUGCAUAACCUGAUAAAUAAAACACACACAUUAGGCAAGUGACAUUGUAAAGAUCUAUUGUUUUAAUAAUUUCUUUCGAUCCAAUGAUACCUCAAUAAGGGAAGAACAUGUGACAAAAUAAGUAACUGUCUCUUCAGUUGUCAUUUCAAAAUAUUUUCUGGAAGCUUAUAGAAUAAUGGAAUCACUAAGGUUGGAAAAGACCUCCACAAUCAUCAAGUCCAACCAUCAACCCAUGCCCACUAAGCUAUGUCCCUCACUGCCACAUUCACACACUUCUUGAAUACCUCUAUGGACAGUGACUCCACCACUUCCCUGGAUAGUCUGUUCCAAUAACUCACCCCUCCUUCUGAGAAGAAAUUUUUCCUAACACCCAUCCCAAACUGACCCACCCCCCUCACCACAACCUCCCUUCUGGUAGUUUUAGGGAGCUAUAAGCUCUACCUUGAGCCUCCUGUUCUCCAGACUAAACAAUCCCAGUUCCCUCAGCCACACUUCAUAAAACUUGUGUUCCAGACCCUUCACAGCUCCACUGCCCUUCUCUGGACGUGCUCCAGGGCCUCAGUGUCUUUCUUGUAAUGAGAGGUCAAAAACUGAACGCAGUACUUGCAGUGCAGCCUCACUAGUGCCAAGUACAGAGGGACAAUCACAUUCCUGCUCCUGCUGGCUACACUAUUUCUGAUGCCAUCCUGGAUGCCACUGGCUGCCUUAGCCACCUGGGCACACUGCUGGCUCACGUUCAGCCAGCUGUUGACCAGAUCUUUAUCUUCCAUGCAGUUUGCCAGCCACUCUACCCCAAUCCUGUAGCAUUGCAUAAGGUUGCAAGAUAGCAGUUUUGCUAACUCCCACCUGACUUCACUAAAAAUAGAGAACUUUAUCAUUUUACGGUCACCAAGCCCAAGACAGCUUCCAACCACCACAACUCCCACCAGUCCUCCUCUGCUUGUAAGUAGGUCUAGAGGGGCAUUUCCCCUGGUAGGCUCUCCUACCAGCUGCGUCAGGAAGUUAUCUUCCACACACACCAGGAGCCUCCUAGACUGCUUUCUCUCUGCUGUAUUGUUUUUCCUGCGUAUGUCAGGCAAAUUGAAGUCCCUCACAAGAACAAAGGCUAACGAUCACGUGGCUUUUGUCAGCUACUCAUUAAAUGCUUCAUCUGUCUUCUCAUCCUGGUUUGGUGGUCUAUAACAAAUUCCCAGUGAGAACGUAAGCCUCAUUGGACUUCCCUCUGAUCCUUACCCAUAAGGACUCAACCUUAUCAUUCCCAACACUGAGCUCUGCAACAUCAAAACACUCCCUAACACAGAGAGACAUCCCACCAGCUCUCCUUCCUUGUCUAUACCUCCUAAAGAGCCUGUAGCCACCUACUGCAGCACUCCAGUCAUGAGAGUAAUUCCACCAUGUUUCAGUGGUGGCAACUAAGUCAUAGUUUUCCUGUUGCACAAUGGCUUCUAGCUCCUCCUGUUUGCAGCCCAUGCUGUGUGCAUUGGUGUAGAUGGACUUCAGCUGGGCCAUUGAUCUCACCCCUAACACUGACAUACUGCCCCUAGGCUCAUCUCUAACAAGUUUGGUUAUAUCCCGUUUCCCUUUCAAACCUAGUUUAAAGCCCUUUCAACAAGCCCCACUAACUACUGGGCUAGAAUCCAUUCCCUCCCCCCCUUUGAAACAGGUGGACUCCAUCUGUUGCCAGCAGGCCUGAUGCUGAAUAAAGCUUUGCAUGAUAAAAAAUAAUAAUAAUAAUAAAAAAAUUCCUCUGACUGCACCAGCCUCUUAGCCAUGUGUUGCUCAGGUGGCUUUUCCUGUUUCUCACAAUAUUUUUCUCUGCUACUGAAGGGAUUGAAGAAAACACCACCUGAGGUCUCACUUUAUAUAAACAGGUUUUCUAAGAAAAACACUCUAUUAGACAUUUGUGAUUUCAUGAGAUCUUUACAGGCUGUUCUGGAACAAAAGAUCCUGAUGAGGGCACAGAUUCUGUCACUUCUUAAUUAAAAGUAACAGCAAAUGGAGAUUCUUUAGUCUUUCAUUAAUUCAACCGUUCAUUUAAAACUCUUGUUUGAAGCCAUUUAAUCUACGAAGCACAGAUGCUGUUCAUCAUCCAGUGUUCUCAUGCAAAAUAACUCAUGUUGGUAGUGAGAUAUAUCCAGGAAAAAAAAAUAUCCAGCACUGACAGAAAGAUACAAGAACACUGAAUAAUUCAGAAUUGUGCCUUAGAAGAUCCAAAUCAAACAAAAACUUCCAGUUCUUGCUGUGAAUUACAGUCCAUGUUUCUGCAUACAUUCUAAACUACAGUGAGUUUUUCAAUCUGUUUACUAAUGUAAGAUGCAUCAACCGACCUCCCAGCACAGAAAGUGUAUUUAAAAUGUCAUGCAUAGUAACUAACUAUGGAAUGAAAAAAUCUUUAUGCAUAUUCUCAGCAAGUGAGAAACCCAUGUUUUCAUUGGCCUGUAUCAUGCAUGCUAAGUGAGGAACAGUUUUAUGAAGAGAAAAUAAGCAACCAUGUAUGCACAGUAAAGCAGAAGACCUUUUAGUAAUGACCUGCAGUCAUACCAGAUUGAAAUUCUGUUCUCUGUUCUAUUAUUAUCCACAAUUCCAAGUCAUUAUUCUACUUACUUUUAUGAUGUUCAGUAAGAGGAGGUCAUCUUUCACCCUGAACUGCUGUAUAUCUCCUGCAGGUAAUUUCUGUUUUUCCUGAGUAUUCUUUCAUUCCCCGCCACUCACAAUACCGUUGCUUAUAUUACAUAUAGUAAAGCUUUCCAGGGUUAGAGAACCCAAGUAAAGAUCCUGGCAGUAGAUAGAUCUUUCAUAUAAUGUAAAUCUGGUUCUGUCAAAGUUUUACAGUUGAUUAGACAAAAACUUAGCUAAUUUCUGCUCAUGGCUCAUGGUAUUUUUUUUCUUAUUUUGAUAUCUAGUGGCUAUUAUUCCUUAGUUUUAUCCAAAAAAGCAAACUAUUUCUGCAUUUAUUGGUAUCUGUAGUUCUUGCUGACUCUUCUUUUCCUUAUAAAGCUUCAGUAGGUUAUUAACAGUAAGAUGCAGAGAGUAAGCGAACCAUUAGCUGAGAAAGUUAAUUUUAAAAAAGUGAUGGAAAGUACCUCAAUAAUGUUUUAAAUCUAUGCCAUGAAAUAUAAUGAGAUAAUAAAAAAUAAAAAGAAGGAAAACAAAUGUGGUUAAGCAAUUAUUUUACAUAAAAUUGCAAAAAGAACUAAUCAUACUAG
This is a long non-coding RNA of Gallus gallus (chicken), 6069 nucleotides long. NCBI's taxonomy places the organism in Eukaryota, Metazoa, Chordata, Aves, Galliformes, Phasianidae. The record is from Ensembl.